Molecule: long non-coding RNA, 3640 nt
Filed under: Capsicum annuum
Lineage: Eukaryota; Viridiplantae; Streptophyta; Magnoliopsida; Solanales; Solanaceae
Description: long non-coding RNA (CANN_LNC013655)
Source: RNAcentral
CGUUAACGACGGUUUCUCCAGUGGAGGACUCUGAAGGAGCUGCCAUGGACAGUUGGUGGUGGAAAAAUGGAUACCCAACUUUAGCUGAAUGGCCACCAUUGCCAUCACCAUCACCACCGGCAACAAGACGGCGCAUGAGGUAGAGCUCAGGUGGCGCUUGAAGCGUGUUAAUAAUAGUUUCCCCACUAUAAGACUCAGCAGGGCUACUGCGGUUGCUCAUCAUCGGAGCUUCAAUGGGCGGUUGGUGGUGAAAAAUCGGAAACCCAUUUCUUACCAGACCAACUUCAGCUGAAUAGCCACUAUUGUCACCCCCUUCACCACCAGCACCAAGGAGGCGUGUGAGAUCGAGUUCAGUAGGCGCGUGAACAAUUGUAUCCCCAUUUCUCACCAACCCAACUUCAGCUAAUCGACCACCAUUGCCAACUCCUUCACCACCAGCACCAAGGCAGCGCGUGAGUUCAAACUCAGACGGCGCGUGAGCACGAUUUUCUCCACUAAAAGACUCAUCCGGGCUACCACUAUCACUGCCAUUCUGAUUUUCCGAUGGUAAAGGGAAGUUUGUUUUAGCUUUGCAUCCACGGAACUCUCUAGCUGCAGCAUCAUAAGCUUUUGCCGCUUCCUCUGCCGUGUCAAAGGUGCCUAACCAAACUCUACUUUUCUUACCGGGAUCACGGAUUUCAGCAGCGUAACGACCCCAUGGCCUCUUCCUUACUCCUCUGUAAUGAACAUCUUUGUUGUUAUUCACUCCGUUACAUUUCGAAUUUCCAACUUUCAUACCGCCGUUAACUUUUUCCUUCAUUGCCAUUUUUUAAAAAAAAUAAGUUGGCUCCUAUGGAUGGGUUGGUUGCUCUUGUUUAUGAUGUGUAGAGUUGCUUAUAUAGCGGAGGGGAGGGUAAAAAGGAGGGCUAAAAGUUUUUUUUUUUUUUUGGCUCUUUGGAGGUAAAAACUUUCUUUGUACGUAUUUUAAUGGUUAUAUAUAAAAAAUAUUAAAUAUUAAAAUAAAUAAAUAAACAAACAUCCUUUUCUCUCUCUUCCCCUUUUUCUUUCUUUUUCUGUCUUCCCGUUCUUUCUUUCUCCAUUUCUUCUUCUUCUUUUGUUUCUUAUUCUUCUUCCUCCUCUUCUUAUUCUUCUUUUUCUUUCAUCUUCAUCUAGUUAUUCUUCUUGCUCUACAAAAAAAUUAAAAAGUAAGGGUCGAAAAAUUUAAGAAGUAUGAAAAGAAAGAUUUUUGAAUAUUUUUAUGAUUUGAGUGAUUCAAGAAACUUGAAAUUCAACAUAAAGAUUCAAUUUUUAUAUAUUUUUUAAAUUUUUUGUGAUUUGAGUAAUUCAAUUUUAUCUUUAACAAUGAACAACAACAAUAAUAUCAGCCAUAGCAAAUACUUGACCAAAAAAAAAAUAAAGCAAAAACCACUUUCAAGAAUUGCCCAGAUUUACUAUGCGAAGGAAAAGGGAGGAGUAAAUGCGCAAAUGAAAAAAAUAAAGCAAAAACCCCUUUCAAGAAUUGCCCAGAUUUACUAUGCGAAGGAAAAGUGAGGAGUAAAUGCGCAAAUGAAAGCAAUACGAGGAAGGGGAAGGAGGAAAAGAUGUUUGUUGCUUUUGAUGAGUAAGGCAAUGGCUUGUUUGAGUUCGAAUGGAGAAGUGAAAUGGUGAACAAUGGAGGGCGAUUGUACAUUAUUAUUGGCAUCAAUAAAGGGUUUGAAUCUUUUUUAGAGAAAAUGAUGAAAUGGAGAUGCUAAAAAAAGUGAAUUUAUUGUACAUUAUUGUUGGUAUCAAAUGAGGGGUGCUGGAAUGAGGUUGAGGUGUUGGGAUGGGAUUGGGUGGGAUGAGGGUACUGCAACAGGGUGGGACGGGCGAGGGGUGCUCGGACGGGAUUGAGUGGAUUGGGGGAGGAGGUUGGGGGUGACCUUUUUUUUUUUUUAAUUUUUAAGUUUAUUAUUUUUAAAAUAUUUUUAAAUUAAAAAAUUGAAUAAAAAUUGAGUGCCACUUUUUUUUUUCAAAAAAAAAUUAUUUUAAUAUAAAUUGGUCAAAAAAUUUUUUAUUACUUAUGGGUGUCGUAUUUAUGUUAUGCCAUCUUGUUUCAUACUUUACUAUGUAUUUAUGUAGGAUUCCGUGUCUCAAGCCAGGAGUCUAUCGAAAACAGUCUUUCUACUUCUUUAAAGACAAAGGUAUAGACCGCGUACAUCUUACCCUCCCCUCUUUAGUGGUAGAAAUAUGAACUGCUUACAUCUUACCUCCCAGAUCUUAGUAUGUAAAAAUACGCUGAAUUUAUUAUUGUUGUUGUUGAUCAAAAAUUGACCCUCACUCGCACCCCAGAUGUAUAACUACAUUCUCUUUGUUCUAGUUUACAUUCUCUUUGUCCUAAUACGCAUUUGAAUGCCACGUAGGUUCGAUCAAUGAUCAAACAUGCAAAAUAUUGCUUUUUAAUAGGCGUGUAACUACAUUUUCUUUGUCCUAAUCAGGAUUUGAAUAUCACGUAAGUUCAAUCAAUGGUCAAAAAAUGUAAAAUAUUACUUUUUAAUAGAUUAAAGAAUUUAAAUGACAAACAUGUUAAUAAAAAUAUCUAAUUUAUAAAACUAACAUAAUAAAAAUAUCUAAUUUAUAAAACUAACACUACUGAAAUCCAGAAUAUCAUUUUGCCAUUUGAAAACAUCAAUUACUUUGAAAGAAUUACAAUUCGAAACUUUCAUUAAUCAACAUUAUCUAAAAGAUAAAACUUUGAAAUUACAAGAACCCUUCCAGAUUGGCUAUUUUAAAAACAGGAAGUCCUUUGAACAUAUAUAUACAAAAUUAGUACUAGUAGUCAACAUCAAGCUUCCAUAGGUGGAGCUAGGUUAAGAUCAAGAUUUAAUUCUCUUCUACUUAGUCCUACUGACGAUGAAUCAGUUUCACUAUGACCUACUCUGUCAGUUACACUAUUAAGUUGAGCCGGCACCGGUUCAAACUGGUAUGGUUGUGGCCGGUUCAGUAAUCCGGUUCGAACAAAAUUACCAUCAAACAACAACAUUGGUUGUCCAUUUGGCAGAACCGCCAUAGCUGGUUGCUGAUGAAAAAUCGGAAACCCAUUACUUACAUAGCCGGCACCUUGAACGACGGCUCCAAGGCGGCGCGUAAGGUCGAGUUCAGGCGGUGCGUGAGGCGCGUUAACGACGGUUUCUCCAGUGGAGGACUCUGAAGGAGCUGCCAUGGACAGUUGGUGGUGGAAAAAUGGAUACCCAACUUUAGCUGAAUGGCCACCAUUGCCAUCACCAUCACCACCGGCAACAAGACGGCGCAUGAGGUAGAGCUCAGGUGGCGCUUGAAGCGUGUUAAUAAUAGUUUCCCCACUAUAAGACUCAGCAGGGCUACUGCGGUUGCUCAUCAUCGGAGCUUCAAUGGGCGGUUGGUGGUGAAAAAUCGGAAACCCAUUUCUUACCAGACCAACUUCAGCUGAAUAGCCACUAUUGUCACCCCCUUCACCACCAGCACCAAGGAGGCGUGUGAGAUCGAGUUCAGUAGGCGCGUGAACAAUUGUAUCCCCAUUUCUCACCAACCCAACUUCAGCUAAUCGACCACCAUUGCCAACUCCUUCACCACCAGCACCAAGGCAGCGCGUGAGUUCAAACUCAGACGGCGCGUGAGCACGAUUUUCUCCACUAAAAGACUC